CUUCUAUUGUCCAUCUCCCAGAGGAGGGAGAAAGGCCUUUUAAGAUUUGUUUUACUUCUCAUUAUUCUACUCUGAUUUUGAUUGGCAGUAAAUUCAAUUAAUUUCUCCUAGUUGAAUCUGUUUUGCCUGUGACUGUAA
Long non-coding RNA from Corvus hawaiiensis (hawaiian crow), 138 nucleotides. RefSeq lists it as uncharacterized. The record is from RefSeq and is a predicted model, not a curated record. NCBI's taxonomy places the organism in Eukaryota, Metazoa, Chordata, Aves, Passeriformes, Corvidae. The transcript is spliced from 4 exons.